This 461-nucleotide ribosomal RNA is filed under the name uncultured bacterium. RNAcentral describes it as "partial 16S ribosomal RNA". It matches the Rfam family "Bacterial small subunit ribosomal RNA", at positions 338 to 795 of the family's 1533-position model. The record is from RNAcentral.
CCUACGGGUGGCAGCAGUGAGGAAUAUUGGUCAAUGGGCGGAAGCCUGAACCAGCCAAGUCGCGUGAGGGAUUAAGGCCCUGCGGGUCGUAAACCUCUUUUGCCGGGGAGCAGAGGUCCGGACGUGUCCGGGCCGGGAGAGUACCCGGAGAAAAAGCAUCGGCUAACUCCGUGCCAGCAGCCGCGGUAAUACGGAGGAUGCGAGCGUUAUCCGGAUUUAUUGGGUUUAAAGGGUGCGUAGGUUGUUUUUUAAGUCAGCGGUGAAAGUUUGUGGCUCAACCAUAAAAUUGCCGUUGAAACUGGAAGACUUGAGUGUGUUUGAGGUAGGCGGAAUGCGUGGUGUAGCGGUGAAAUGCAUAGAUAUCACGCAGAACUCCGAUUGCGAAGGCAGCUUACUAAGCCAUAACUGACACUGAAGCACGAAAGCGUGGGGAUCAAACAGGAUUAGAUACCCGUGUAGUC